GGAGUCAGUUGUUGGCUGUGAGGAAGAGUCAGUGCCUGGAGGAGCUACCUAUGACAAACAUUAAGGAGCUGGCCUGUAUUCCCUCCUCUAAUUACCUGAUGGCAAUGGCAUUCAUCCAGGAGUGAAGGCACCUAACACUCUGAACAGUCUUGAAGAACUUUGGAGGAUGGGAAAGGUCCUACAGCAAUGGCUAUGCUGCUUGCUCUUCCCACCAAAAUAUAAUAAAUAAAUAGAAAAAUAAAA
This is a long non-coding RNA of Zonotrichia leucophrys gambelii, 243 nucleotides long. RefSeq lists it as uncharacterized. The record is from RefSeq and is a predicted model, not a curated record. The transcript is spliced from 2 exons. NCBI's taxonomy places the organism in Eukaryota, Metazoa, Chordata, Aves, Passeriformes, Passerellidae.